GACGAACGCUGGCGGCGUGCCUAAUACAUGCAAGUCGAGCGGACGAAUCCAAAGCUUGCUUUUGAUUCGUUAGCGGCGGACGGGUGAGUAACACGUGGGCAACCUGCCCUGUAGACGGGGAUAACACCGAGAAAUCGGUGCUAAUACCGGAUAACACGAAAUGUCGCAUGACGUUUCGUUGAAAGACGGCGCAAGCUGUCGCUACAGGAUGGGCCCGCGGCGCAUUAGCUAGUUGGUGAGGUAACGGCUCACCAAGGCGACGAUGCGUAGCCGACCUGAGAGGGUGAUCGGCCACACUGGGACUGAGACACGGCCCAGACUCCUACGGGAGGCAGCAGUAGGGAAUCUUCCGCAAUGGACGAAAGUCUGACGGAGCAACGCCGCGUGAGCGAAGAAGGCCUUCGGGUCGUAAAGCUCUGUUGUUAGGGAAGAACAAGUAACGCAGUAACUGGCGUUACCGUGACGGUACCUAACGAGAAAGCCACGGCUAACUACGUG
RNAcentral lists this ribosomal RNA (498 nucleotides) under uncultured bacterium. RNAcentral describes it as "partial 16S ribosomal RNA". It matches the Rfam family "Bacterial small subunit ribosomal RNA", at positions 28 to 507 of the family's 1533-position model. The record is from RNAcentral.